Molecule: RNA transcript, 5363 nt
Organism: Harpia harpyja (harpy eagle)
Lineage: Eukaryota; Metazoa; Chordata; Aves; Accipitriformes; Accipitridae
Gene: UCHL3
Gene name: ubiquitin C-terminal hydrolase L3
Exons: 8
Source: RefSeq, a predicted model, not a curated record
GGCUCGGUGGUGCGGUCCCGGGUCAGGUCUGAGGCGAGGCGGCGCGAGGCGCUGUCAGUGCCGCGGUGCGAGGUUCAGCCCAGUGCCGGUACCGGGAGCCGCCCUGCCGCCACCGCCAUGGAGCCCCAUCGCUGGCUGCCCCUGGAGGCCAACCCCGACGUCACGAAUCAGUUUCUCAAACAGCUAGGUAUACAUCCUGACUGGCAAUUUGUAGAUGUUUAUGGUAUGGAACCAGAACUGCUUAGCAUGGUGCCAAGACCUGUCUGUGCAGUGCUACUUCUCUUUCCAAUAACAGAAAAGUAUGAAACCUUCAGAACAGAAGAAGAAGAGAGAAUAAAAGCUAAGGGGCAAGAUGUCAAAUCAUCAGUGUAUUUCAUGAAGCAGACCAUUAACAAUGCUUGUGGAACAAUUGGGCUAAUUCAUGCUAUUGCAAACAACAGAGAUAAAAUGAACUUUGAAACUAAUUCUUCACUGAAAAAGUUCCUAGAAGAUUCAUUAUCUAUGACUCCUGAAGAGAGGGCCAAAUAUCUAGAAACUUAUGAAGCUAUUCGUGUCACUCAUGAAUCCAGUGCCCAUGAAGGUCAGACUGAGGGCUUACUGUACGGGAACUGUGUAACGAGGCCACAAACACUUAGUUUGUUGGGAGGAGUUAUUGCACACUCAUGGACCGACUCAACUGAGCAGAUGCAGAACAUGUGGCAGGGCCUCUGAUCCCAGGGUUGUGCAUAUGAAACGAAGACCAGGACUGAAAGUAUUGUAUCUCCUUCUGUUUCCCAAGUUUCCAGUGAUGUUGGUAUGCAGUUAAAGUUCAUUUGAUCUCUGUCCCAGUGCAACUAGCAUUUCUUUCUACACAGUGACACAACCUCAAAAUGGACGAAAGAAGAAAGCCCCAGUCCCAGCAUAGUUCGUCAGCUGAUAGACAGGGAAGCUUCCCUAGAGGAAGGUGGCAUGGGCUUGAACUUUCCACUGAGAGGAUGCCCUGAACUUGAGCUUCCAGAGAGAUGAAUUUUUGUAACCACUAGCAAGUUAAUCAGUAAUAAAUAUUUCUCCUUAGAAAGAAAUGGUCAUGCAAUACCAGAUGCUGCUUUGUCCUGUUAGGUCUUCAAUACAUGAGACAUGGACUGAGAUACUUUGCUGGAUUGGGUUCCCCAAACAAGACGAGCGGACAGAUCCCUGUUUCUAUAACCUGACAGGUUUGGGCAUGAGCCAAGUCAUGAGCUACUCAGCACUAUCAAACUUCUGCAUUUUUAGGUAUGUGCAAAAGCACAGUUCUUAUUGCCUGACGAAUUUCAUAGGAGUUUCCUUUAGAUCUUAGAUUUAAAUGGCUCAAGGCUUUAAUAACAGCUAUAUAUAGGAAUGAGUUGGAUUGGGGCAGAUGAUAAUUGCCUGAACAUUUUUUUGGACAUAUUCCAUGAAGCUUUUAACUUGUUUAAAAUGUAUUUUUUGCAUUACAAACCAUAAACUUAAUGUGCUUACUGGUUUAUAUGACAAUAACAUUUAAUUCUAUUUCAGGGUUUUUGUUUUACCACUUCAGAUAUUUGACCUGCUAUAUUUUCAGCACAGAGAUAUGCUCCUGUGAUCUUUUCAUCUUGUGAAGUUAGUCUAAUGCUCUCUUCUCUGCAGUUUCUAGCUGUUAAUGUCUUGUUUGAAUAGACUGUCUCAAGUUAUGAUUUGUCUUCCACGUUUUAAAUUAAAUGCGAAAUGUACAACUUUAUAUCCUUUAUUUGGAGUUGUGUAUUUAACAUUCAUUUCAUAUUAUUAUUGACAUGUAAUUGUAUUUUAAUUUUUUUAAUAUUCAGUUGAAAACAACUUCAGUUGACACAGCUUAAUUUGUACUUAGUAUUAAAGCAAUGCAUGGAAUUUUAUGGCUAUUGCAGCCUUAUUCAUUAGUCAUAAUCCAGUAUUAACAUUGCUUUUCCAGAAUUCCUAUAUACUGUCUGUCAAAAUUUCACUCUUACAAAUGCAAAAGUAUAUUUUCAGUGGGGAGGAAGUUUCUUUUUGUCUUGGUUGGUCUCACUAGGGGACCCACUAGUACAGGAAAUAAAAGAUAAAAAGAUUCAAUGAAUGGAAUUUAAAAUAAGAACAAUUACUGACCUAAAAAUAUUAAAAUAUUAGUUGCCUUAAACUGCAUUCUAGGUUGUAAAUUCAGUUUUGAGAACUUAAAGUCUUUUCUGGUCUCAUUACAUUCAGGCAAGGGGCGUUUUUAAUACAUUCUCAUUAUUUUAGCAAUAUUAGCUAUAAAACAAAGAAAUACGUGCAAUCAUUAAGAAUAGUAAAAGUGAAGAAUUCUGGUAAAAACGGUAACAAAAGUAAAAAAGGCUUUAUAAAAAAAUCUUUCAAUAUUCUGCUCAUCCCUGUACUGUUAAACAGACCUUAAACUUGGUAUUGUUCAAAGUCUUAUUAAUGGUUUCAUAGUAAUUACACUAGGAGUGCUAAAAGAUAGGGGUUUUUUUAGAGCAAAAGUGUACAGUUUAACAGCUUUCAGUCAAUGAAAUGCAUCAAAGCCAUAGUAAAUUCUUACUUUCAACAAGUUUUUCAGUUUCAUUUUUUUUACUAUUUCAAAGUAAACAGUUACUAUAUUGCAGAUUCUGGGAAGACUAACAAUCUUGUCUGUUUUGAUAGCAGCAGCUUACAAAAUUGUAAAACAUAAUGUAGUGUGUCUUGCCGUUGUCCUGAACUGUCUAGUCAGCAAAGCUCUUAAAUUUCUACCCCACAGCAGAUUCUAAUCUUACAGGUUCUUCCCUCCAGAGGGAGAUCUGUGGACUGUGAAGACUUCUAGGAGCAAUGUUUUAUCAGUUGUCUUUUGGAAUUUUUUUAGGCAAGCUGAGAAUAAAUUGUUUUUAAAGCUAUCUGAUACGUUAUCUAAAUGUAAAAUGUCUCAUUUUACAUCCGUUCAAGUGAAGAAUUUGAAGAAAACAACCAGUAGUACAGAUAAACUAUAAUAGCCAUUAAAGUCUUGUAAGCUUCUCUGACUCAUAGAAGUAUUGGCAUUGCUAAAUUCCUCUUUCUUCAUAUAGUUACAUUUUUGGGCUGGAGGUUUUCUGUUUUUGUCCUCUCUUAUGUGGAGCUACUGAGAUUUAGGGGUGGAUUAGAAUGUUUGAAAAUCAGAAGCUAAUUGAAACAAAAAAAAAAAACCCAAAACUGUGGCAAACCUGUGAAAAACUAUUUUCUGGACAGGUUCAGACUUGAUAACACUCCCUGCUUAUCUCUGAGCUCUACAGUUUCUACUGUACUUGAUGCUUGCUCUUUAUGAAGAAUUUCUAUCCCUUUCUUUGUUCUUUAAGGUCAGCAAUAUCAGAGCAGAAAGAACCAAUUCAUUAUCCCACUCUUGAUGGGAAAAGGAAAAAACGUAAAAUUCAAUGGGAAAGAAGAUGAAUUGCUUCAAAAAUAAUACAAAGAAAGUAAAUGGUUUUGACUGGCAUUUAUGCAUUGAUUAAAAAGAGUGAAAAUUUUUUUCAGAGAAGCUAUCUAAUGCUUCUUUUUUGAAGUCUACUAGAAUCAUUGCAUUGAAUGCAUAAUGUGGGACAUACCUUGAGGAACUGCAGUUUUUAUUCUGCUUGUAUAACUUUAAUCAAUUCACAAGCAGCUGGCUGGUCUCCAUGCAGAUAAGUGGGGUAUCACUGAUGAGUAAGUAUGUUUGCUAGUGGGGCUCUCCAGGCAUUGCUCCUAAGACCUGUACUGUUAAACAACUUCUAUCAGUGACAUGGAAGACAACAGAAAAAUACACCCCAAAACCUAUAGGCAGUGUAAAAAGUUCAAGAGAUAGCAAAGCGUAAGACAUCAACACAAGACAGUCUGGAUUGCCCUUUAGGUUAGCUUCAAACAAAGGAGUAUUUUUCCGAGGCCAAUAAAAGCUUUGUAAUUAGCACAAAAGAAAGUUUAUUUCCUGACAGAAGCUGAGGGGUUCUCUGAAAGACUGAAGACGACAUUGGGGAUUUUUAUAUGUGCUGAGAGGAGAAAGUAAUGGUGGAUGAUAAACUGAAGGUGAGCCCCUGGUUUGACAUCGUGGCCAGAUGAACUAAUGUAAUCAUUGUUCCAUAUUCAUAUCAUCGUUAAGCAGGACUAGAAAGGUUGCCUUUUCAUUUAGCACUGACAUAUUUAGUAAACUGUAUGAAUAUAUUACUUACUGUCUCUGUAGCUAUAGACAGGAUUGAUUGAAAUUUUGGGUUGUUCUAAUUUAUUUCAGUAGUAAAAAAAAUAUUGUUAAGCUUGAAUGUUUGUUUUUGUUUUAUGAGUAUGUUUUGAUCCAAACAAAACUUGAACUUGAUUGGUCCUGUGGCCUGUGUGGGACAGAAGAGCAAAACUAAAUCAUCACAAUGGUCCUUUCUGGUCUUAAUAUAUUUACUGUAACUUUGUCAGUUGCAGCUGAGAGUCAUUUUUAAUACUUCUGUGGUCUUUCUUCUAAUAGUAACAAUUUGAAUGGUUUAACAUAGUCCUACUGCUUCCACGGAUACUAAAGAGAUCCUGAGUGUUAAUGGCAAUACUGCCACUGGCCUGCUAUUUUAGAAGAAUAGGUGAAAAGCUUAGGAAGUUGCAUACCUCACCACGGUAAGCUUCCCUUUUCCUUUGCUUUCCUUUUAUGUUAGACAUGGAACAGUAAAGAAACUCUGGGUUCUGUUACAGUACUUACUUGAUUCAUUUUAAAUCCCAGAGCAGCACAACCUAGCUUUCCCAAAUUAGCAAAGAACUGUUGCUUACAGUUCUUGUAGCUGUGGACAAAACUCUGUUCUCAACUAUUCCCUUCCAUGAGAUGAUACUUAAAUCCCCUUCCUCCUCACUUUCCCAGUCUGUCUCUUGAACAAGUCAGUUAACUUGUGUUCAUAUGAUGAAGUUCACUGGGUGUGAAUAACCUCUAGCUUAUCUGGUGAUAAACUUCAGAUUUGGACCAUGUCUUUGCUUAUUUUCAUUGUUCUUUUGUCUUCUCAUUCAAAUUCAAUACAUUCUUGAUUAUUAUCUGUGUGAUUUGAUCAGUUAAAGGACAGUAUAAUAAAUAGUGGACAUCUUUGCAGUUGCCUUUUUAGGUAUGUUACUUCAAGUUUAAGUGGGCUAAGUAUGUUCUUUUUUAAUGUUUAUGUAGUCGUCAUCGUCCUCGCUGUCUUCACCACCAUCCUCAUCGCAGCCUCAGGUUAGCCACAGCAGAACGAAGGCUUCACCAUUGUGUCACUCUGCAUCCCUCUCCUGGGCCAAACGUAAUCAUGUAGGUCCUGCAAAGGCUACCAGUCCGUCAAUCCGUCUUCGUCGUUGGCGGCCCUUGAUACGCCUUCCAUCUGUUGGGCUUCAUUCUGUUGCACCAAGUAUAGAUGAAAAAGUAGAUCUUCACUUUAUUGCAUUAGUUAAUGUAGGUGGUCAUCUCUAUGAAUUGG